GCGCACCAGGCGAGAAUCUUCGGCAAUGGGGGAAACCCUGACCGAGCGACGCCGCGUGUGGGAUGAAGGCCCUUGGGUUGUAAACCACUGUCAGAGGGGAUGAAAUGCCGGAAAGUUAUCUCUCCGGUUUGACAUAGCCUCAGAGGAAGCACGGGCUAAGUUCGUGCCAGCAGCCGCGGUAAGACGAACUGUGCAAACGUUAUUCGGAAUCACUGGGCUUGAAGGGUGCGUAGGCGGUUUCGUAAGUAGGGUGUGAAAGCCCCCGGCUCAACCGGGGAAUUGCGUCCUAAACUGCGAGGCUGGAGUGAGGUAGGGGUGUGUGGAACUUCCAGUGGAGCGGCGAAAUGUGUUGAUAUUGGAAGGAACGCCGGUGGCGAAAGCGACACACUGGACCUUGUCUGACGCUGAGGCACGAAAGCCAGGGGAGCAAACGGGAUUAGAUACCCGCGUAGU
RNAcentral lists this ribosomal RNA (453 nucleotides) under uncultured organism. RNAcentral's name for it is "bacterial SSU rRNA". It matches the Rfam family "Bacterial small subunit ribosomal RNA", at positions 346 to 794 of the family's 1533-position model. The record is from RNAcentral.